GACGAACGCUGGCGGCGUGCUUAACACAUGCAAGUCGAACGGAAAGGCCCUGCUUUUGUGGGGUGCUCGAGUGGCGAACGGGUGAGUAACACGUGAGUAACCUGCCCUUGACUUUGGGAUAACUUCAGGAAACUGGGGCUAAUACCGGAUAGGAGCUCCUGCUGCAUGGUGGGGGUUGGAAAGUUUCGGCGGUUGGGGAUGGACCCGCGGCUUAUCAGCUUGUUGGUGGGGUAGUGGCUUACCAAGGCUUUGACGGGUAGCCGGCCUGAGAAGGUGACCGGCCACAUUGGGACUGAGAUACGGCCCAGACUCCUACGGGGGGCAGCAGUGGGGAAUAUUGCACAAUGGGCGGAAGCCUGAUGCAGCGACGCCGCGUGCGGAAUGACGGCCUUCGGGUUGUAAACCGCUUUCGCCUGUGACGAAGCGUGAGUGACGGUAAUGGGUAAAGAAGCACCGGCUAACUACGUG
This 468-nucleotide ribosomal RNA is filed under the name uncultured bacterium. RNAcentral's name for it is "partial 16S ribosomal RNA". It matches the Rfam family "Bacterial small subunit ribosomal RNA", at positions 28 to 507 of the family's 1533-position model. The record is from RNAcentral.